Lacerta agilis (Sand lizard) is the source of this 767-nucleotide long non-coding RNA. RefSeq lists it as uncharacterized. Lineage: Eukaryota; Metazoa; Chordata; Lepidosauria; Squamata; Lacertidae. The transcript is spliced from 2 exons. The record is from RefSeq and is a predicted model, not a curated record.
GCAUGCAGGGCUUCAGAAUGUAACCCCAGCAUAAGUGGGGAGACGCCUGUAUUUGAAAGUGGAUGGACACUGCCUUGUGAUGUCUCAGAAACUGGAGUGAAAAUGUGCCAGAGCAGGACUGGGGCUGCCACUAUGAAAACUUUUCCAAGGUUGAUGGAAGCAGUAGCAAUAAGGCCUGCUUGAAGAAGAAUGAUUUCGCCUGGUAUCUAAAAAUAUAUAAGGAAGGCACCAGACUAAUCUCCCUGGGAGAGUAUUCCACAAACAGGGAGCCACUGCAGAAAAGGUCCAUUCUCAUGUUGCCAUCCUCUGGACGUCAUGUAGAGGAGGCACACAAAUAAGGGCCCCAAAUGCAGAGCCCAGGUCGGUUUAUAUGCUUUACACAGUUUACACAUCUUAGUAAAGCCAGAUUACCUUCUAGAAGUCACACUCUGCCUUACUAUUACAAUGUCAUUCCCAUCAGUGACAUUCAGACAUAUCUGGGGAAUCCACAGAGCUAGGGAACUGGUCAACUUCAAGUGGCAAAUUAUCUCCCUGUGUUCCUUCCUUCAGCUACAGUGAAACAGCCAACCAUGUUCCCAAAAAGCGUAACAGCAGUUCACUUCUAUACCCUGGAGAAGGACAGCCACAAGAUGCACAUAUGCCACAUUAAGCAGCUAUACUGAAACUAUAAUCCCAAUUAUUUUUAUGAGAAGCUUUCUUUGUAACUGCAAUUAGAUAGAGAAGUAAUAUGUAGCAUUGUGUUGAACAAUAAAAUACCCAAAACUCUA